Molecule: ribosomal RNA, 372 nt
Filed under: Triticum aestivum (bread wheat)
Lineage: Eukaryota; Viridiplantae; Streptophyta; Magnoliopsida; Poales; Poaceae
Description: partial small subunit ribosomal RNA
Source: RNAcentral
AUGGGUGAGCCACUAACCGCGGUCCUAACUGGACCGGCUCAGGAGAAGACAGAAGAGAAGGUUGGGGUGCCCAACCAAUGCCUUUCGGGAGAAGACCAGCUCACAGUUUCCUUUCCCAUGUCUCCUGCCAUGAGGCAGGCUGGGGAUGGGCUGACUUGCCAGGCCAUGACAGUGCUAUGCGUGCUGGCGGAAGAGGAGAUAGAGGAGAUGGUCCCCGCCCAGAUGGACGCUGAGCUGGCGGGACAAGUUGGGAUUGAGGAGGUGUCACAGGAUGAUGAUGGAUGGGGUGAGCAGAGGCUCACAGCCCCAAGCGGCCUGAUGGAAGCUAGGUUGGAUGUUACUGCGAAACUAUACCAGCCCGACCCAGUGUAG